This 250-nucleotide ribosomal RNA is filed under the name uncultured Chroococcidiopsis sp. Its description in RNAcentral is "partial 16S ribosomal RNA". It matches the Rfam family "Bacterial small subunit ribosomal RNA", at positions 796 to 1044 of the family's 1533-position model. The record is from RNAcentral. Lineage: Bacteria; Bacillati; Cyanobacteriota; Cyanophyceae; Chroococcidiopsidales; Chroococcidiopsidaceae.
CUAGCUGUAAACGAUGGAUACUAGGCGUUGAGAGUAUCGACCCUCUCAGUGUCGUAGCUAACGCGUUAAGUAUCCCGCCUGGGAAGUACGCGCGCAAGCGUGAAACUCAAAGGAAUUGACGGGGGCCCGCACAAGCGGUGGAGUAUGUGGUUUAAUUCGAUGCAACGCGAAGAACCUUACCAGGGCUUGACAUGUCCGGAACCCUGCCCAAAGGCGGGGGUGCCUACGGGAACCGGAACACAGGUGGUGC